This 392-nucleotide ribosomal RNA is filed under the name uncultured bacterium. RNAcentral describes it as "bacterial SSU rRNA". It matches the Rfam family "Bacterial small subunit ribosomal RNA", at positions 28 to 414 of the family's 1533-position model. The record is from RNAcentral.
GACGAACGCUGGCGGCGUGCUUAACACAUGCAAGUGGAGCGACGAACCAGGCUUCGGCCUGGGGCAGAGCCGCGAACGGGUGAGUAUCACGUGGGUAACGUACCCCGAUGACCGGGACAACCCGAGGAAACUCGGGCUAAUACCGGAUGUGCUGUACGGCCAUAAGGCCAUACAAAAAAGGAAGCUUCGGCCUCCGCAUCGGGAGCGGCCCGCGGCCCAUUAGCUUGUUGGUGAGGUAACGGCUCACCAAGGCUGUGAUGGUAGCUGGUCUGAGAGGACGAUCAGCCACACUGGGACUGAGACACGGCCCAGACUCCUACGGGAGGCAGCAGUGGGGAAUCUUGCGCAAUGCGCGAAAGCGUGACGCAGCAACGCCGCGUGAGGGAAGACGG